This 85-nucleotide transfer RNA is filed under the name Candidatus Eiseniibacteriota bacterium. RNAcentral's name for it is "Candidatus Eisenbacteria bacterium tRNA-Leu". It matches the Rfam family "tRNA". From Rfam's summary of the family: Transfer RNA (tRNA) molecules are approximately 80 nucleotides in length. Their secondary structure includes four short double-helical elements and three loops (D, anti-codon, and T loops). Lineage: Bacteria; Candidatus Eiseniibacteriota. RNAcentral also lists the same sequence under 1 other name. The record is from RNAcentral.
GCGAGAGUGGCGGAAUUGGCAGACGCGCGGGAGUUAGGAUCCCGUGAGGCAACUCGUGGGGGUUCAACUCCCCCCUCUCGCACCA